This 372-nucleotide ribosomal RNA is filed under the name uncultured organism. Its description in RNAcentral is "bacterial SSU rRNA". It matches the Rfam family "Bacterial small subunit ribosomal RNA", at positions 526 to 896 of the family's 1533-position model. The record is from RNAcentral.
CGGGGGGGGCGAGCGUUGUUCGGAAUUACUGGGCGUAAAGGGCGCGUAGGCGGUGCUCUAAGUUAGAUGUGAAAACUCUGGGCUCAACCCAGAGCCUGCAUCUAAAACUGGAGUGCUAGAGUUCUGGAGGGGGUAGCGGAAUUCCUGGUGUAGCGGUGAAAUGCGUAGAUAUCAGGAGGAACACCGGUGGCGAAGGCGGCUACCUGGACAGAAACUGACGCUGAGGCGCGAAAGCUAGGGGAGCAAACAGGAUUAGAUACCCUGGUAGUCCUAGCCCUAAACGAUGGAUACUUGGUGUGACUGGGAUUGAAUCCAGUCGUGCCGAAGCUAACGCAUUAAGUACCCCGCCUGGGGAGUACGGUCGCAAGGCUG